GUGUCAGCAGCCGCGGUAAUACGUAGGGCGCAAGCGUUGUCCGGAAUUAUUGGGCGUAAAGAGCUCGUAGGCGGCUUGUCACGUCGGGUGUGAAAGCCCGGGGCUUAACCCCGGGUCUGCAUUCGAUACGGGCUAGCUAGAGUGUGGUAGGGGAGAUCGGAAUUCCUGGUGUAGCGGUGAAAUGCGCAGAUAUCAGGAGGAACACCGGUGGCGAAGGCGGAUCUCUGGGCCAUUACUGACGCUGAGGAGCGAAAGCGUGGGGAGCGAACAGGAUUAGAUACCCUGGUAGUCCACGCCGUAAACGGUGGGAACUAGGUGUUGGCGACAUUCCACGUCGUCGGUGCCGCAGCUAACGCAUUAAGUUCCCCGCCUGGGGAGUACGGCCGCAAGGCUAAA
This 396-nucleotide ribosomal RNA is filed under the name uncultured bacterium. RNAcentral describes it as "bacterial SSU rRNA". It matches the Rfam family "Bacterial small subunit ribosomal RNA", at positions 505 to 898 of the family's 1533-position model. The record is from RNAcentral.